Molecule: non-coding RNA, 71 nt
Organism: Paramuricea clavata
Lineage: Eukaryota; Metazoa; Cnidaria; Anthozoa; Malacalcyonacea; Plexauridae
Source: the annotation of a GenBank genome assembly
AACAGGGUGGCGCAGCGGAACCGUGCUGAGCCCAUAACCCAGAGCUCAGUGGUCGAAACCAUAUCCUGCUA